GAUGAACGCUGGCGGCGUGCCUAAUACAUGCAAGUCGAGCGAACAGAUGAGGAGCUUGCUCCUCUGACGUUAGCGGCGGACGGGUGAGUAACACGUGGAUAACCUACCUAUAAGACUGGGAUAACUUCGGGAAACCGGAGCUAAUACCGGAUAAUAUAUUGAACCGCAUGGUUCAAUAGUGAAAGACGGUUUUGCUGUCACUUAUAGAUGGAUCCGCGCCGCAUUAGCUAGUUGGUAAGGUAACGGCUUACCAAGGCAACGAUGCGUAGCCGACCUGAGAGGGUGAUCGGACACACUGGAACUGAGACACGGACCAGACGACUACGGGAGGCAGAAGUAGGGAAUCUUCCGCAAUGGGCGAAAGCAUGACGGAGCAACGCCGCGUGAGUGAUGAAGGUCUUCGGAUCGUAAAACUCUGUUAUUAGGGAAGAACAAAUGUGUAAGUAACUAUGCACGUCUUGACGGUACCUAAUCAGAAAGCCACGGCUAACUACGUG
Molecule: ribosomal RNA, 497 nt
Filed under: uncultured bacterium
Lineage: Bacteria
Description: partial 16S ribosomal RNA
Rfam family: Bacterial small subunit ribosomal RNA
Source: RNAcentral